AACGAACGCUGGCGGCAUGCCUAACACAUGCAAGUCGAACGAGACCUUCGGGUCUAGUGGCGCACGGGUGCGUAACGCGUGGGAACCUGCCCUUAGGUUCGGAAUAACUCCCCGAAAGGGGUGCUAAUACCGGAUAAUGUCUUCGGACCAAAGAUUUAUCGCCUUUGGAUGGGCCCGCGUUGGAUUAGCUAGUUGGUAGGGUAAAAGCUUACCAAGGCGACGAUCCAUAGCUGGUCUGAGAGGAUGAUCAGCCACACUGGGACUGAGACACGGCCCAGACUCCUACGGGAGGCAGCAGUGGGGAAUAUUGGACAAUGGGAGAAAGCCUGAUCCAGCAAUGCCGCUUGAGUGAUGAAGGCCUUAGGGUUGUAAAGCUCUUUUACCCGGGAUGAUAAUGACAGUACCGGGAGAAUAAGCUCCGGCUAACUCCGUG
Molecule: ribosomal RNA, 433 nt
Filed under: uncultured bacterium
Lineage: Bacteria
Description: partial 16S ribosomal RNA
Rfam family: Bacterial small subunit ribosomal RNA
Source: RNAcentral